RNAcentral lists this transfer RNA (57 nucleotides) under Aneides lugubris. RNAcentral describes it as "partial tRNA-His". Lineage: Eukaryota; Metazoa; Chordata; Amphibia; Caudata; Plethodontidae. The record is from RNAcentral.
GUAUAUAUAAUUUAAAUAAAAUAUUAAACUUGUGACUUUAAUUAUGAGAGUUAAAAC